Long non-coding RNA from Gorilla gorilla gorilla (western lowland gorilla), 2606 nucleotides. RefSeq lists it as uncharacterized. Lineage: Eukaryota; Metazoa; Chordata; Mammalia; Primates; Hominidae. The transcript has 2 exons. The record is from RefSeq and is a predicted model, not a curated record.
GGGGUUUGGGAGGUAAUUUGGACCUCCGCCUGCCUCCCUUCCCUCGCUGCCUCCCGGAAUUUGACCAAUCCCGUGAGGAGGAGCCGUGGGCGGGGCGGGCUCGGCUCCCGGAGCGGCGUGAAAAAUUUCCCGAGGCAGAGCGAAAAGUCUUCAUGCGUUACUGAGCAUGUCCGGUGCCCGAAGAGGCGCUUUGGAUGCCAAUGAAGCGAGGAGAGGCGGAGAAGGAACCGAGCGGGCAGUUGAGGGAAAUCUCGGAGGAGGUUACCUGCGAUCAAACUGGGGCUGCGUAGUGUUAGGGUCAGGCAGCGUUGAAGUGGAAUCCGGAUCCGCCACUCUCGCUGCGUGAUAUUGGGCAUGCCAUCAAAGCGCUCUCAACCGAACGUCUCGGGUAAAAUGGGAUUAGUGAAGUCUACUAAGGUAGUUGUGAGGAUCAAAAGAGAUAACGCGGAAAACGCCUCACCUGGCACGUUAUAGAUCCUAAAUGCCUAGCUACCACAACCUCCAUAUUUUACAACUGGGAACACGGGACUCAAAGAGAUUAAAAAACUAAAUGACUCACUCAAGGUCAGGUAGUGGUGGAGACCCAGGCUUCAAGUUCAAUACUCUUUGUCCUACGAAGCCUUCCCUUAAGCAGGGGUAACAAAACAUUUCAGAAAAACCACCUUAAAGAGCAUCGCUUGUGAUAUGUGGAUCACUUGGUAGUCCCCACCUCCCUCCCAUCCCCGCAAAGGUUUAGAGCUGGACAUAAGGGCCUUGGUGCAACUUUUGGAGGGCAGUUGUUCAGCUUCUGAAUUUGCAUCUGAACGAGCAAUAAGGUGGGGUGCUUUCCUCAAUUCCCUUGGGGCCCCUACAUUUUGGUUAAGGUGUAAACAGCAAGGAGCUCCAGGUCCUCCACGUCUCUAACUAGCUGAAGAAAGAUUAACUCAAUUAACCAGCAUUUACCCAGCAUCCAUCAAGUCGUAAGGUUUUCCUAGCAGGCAAGGAGCCUGUGACCUCAGGGCUGUGCAGGCAGGCACCUUGGGAUUCAGACACACUUAGACUUCCAGCCCAUUCGUCUAAUUUAGCUCUUAAUCACUUACUGCCAGGCAGUAUUUCUUGAAUGUUGUAGUACUAUGUAAUUUCAGCUAUGCUGUUAACUUUUUAAAAAAGUAUGUGUCUAUCUCCCUGUCUUGUAGCCCCAAACGUAUACUUGAUCUUGGUAAAGGAUGUCACCCAGUAUCUUAAAUAAGCCGUGAAGUUUCCCAUGUCCCAGGAAUUAUUCACUUGACCCUCCCGAGUUAAAUGUAGUGUCUUCCAAAAAAUCUUGGUGGUCUACUUCUUUGGAAUACAUUAGUAUCUCUUCUACAGCAUUUGGCAGCUACCUUGCUUUAAACACUGUUUCUAGUUUUGUGUUCUACUAUUUAUGCAUAUUAUCACCUACAAAAAGUUUCUCUAACAUUCAUGUAUGAGUUGGCUGUUCAUAUGGAUCAAUAUAUCACUUAUUACCCAAUCCUUUAAGGCUUGAUUUAUUUUCCUUUCCCUUCAGAUUGUAAAACUCUUGAAUGGCAGGAACCCUGUCUAGUUCCACAUCGAAUUUCCAGCCUGUUCCUCAGUAACAACACCACUCAACAACUAGCUGUUGAAUGGCUGAGUGAGCUCCCUGCCUAUCUUAUAAAAUUAUUAGGGGCAUACUUUAUUUUUAUAUUUAUAUCUCAAAACCAGGAAUUUUCUGGGAAGUUAAGAAUUUCCAAUAAAUCUUGGACUACUCUAAAAUGCACCAGAAAUUACAUGGUCACACUCGUGCAAUGAAAGAAGGCUUUGGCAGUAGCAUAAGACAUUAAGCAGAAGUAGGAAAUGCAGUGAGGAAGAAGUUGUAAUGUUUUCAACAGCUGCCACUGUGGAUCUAGGAUGAGAGCUUUCCACAUGUUGUUAAGAAUGAGAGACAGAUUACUCCAAGGUAGGAACAUUUCUCAGAGGUUUUUCAUCAUGGAUAUUUGAAAAUGCUGAUGUAAAGAGACACAUCUCAAUUUCAAUGCUGUCACAGCCAUGUUGUCCUUCUUUGGAGAGUCUUCGAACUAGAGUAAGCCAUGGAAGCUUGAUAAUAUACAAUGUGGUUGCCUAUGAUGACUCACUGACCUGUCCAGAUUUGUAAUCUGCACAUUUUAAUGUAAAUUGAGUAGUUGAUUUAAAGACAUAAAUUAUUUUAAAAACCAGUAGACUAUAUUACAACAACAACAACAACAACAACAACGACAACCUAGGAUUUCAGCAUUUUCAAACUUCAAAGAAUACUGAAAACUGGCUUAGACUCUUGUUCUGGGGAUGCUCAGCUAUGCAGAGGAGAUGCUGAGAUUUCUGGCAGCCAUCUUGUCUACUACAUAGUUAGACCUUAUAUGGAGAAUGAAGCCAAGGAAAACCAAGAAAGACACAAUCCUGAUAGAUGUCUAGGAGUCCCCAGACCCAAUGUAAAUGGAGCCAAAUUAAGACAAGCAGAGCAGAGAGAUCAGAGGGAGACAUCCCUGAUAAUUCCACUGGAAGUCCAAAUCCAGCCAUGCUUGAAGUUAUUGCAUCCCUGCUUUUCCCAUUUUCCCAGUUUUCUGAGAAAUAAAUUCCCCUUUCCUCUCUUG